GCACGUGACCACGGAGAAGAGAGUGAGCGCGACUCAAACCGUAGCGGCCGACUUGCCCUGGGUGUGUGGCCCCAGGGAGGUCUUCAAGGAAUGCGUGAGCAGCAGCUGUGCCGAACUCAAGUGCGGCAGGGAAG
Ixodes scapularis (black-legged tick) is the source of this 134-nucleotide long non-coding RNA. RefSeq lists it as uncharacterized. Lineage: Eukaryota; Metazoa; Arthropoda; Arachnida; Ixodida; Ixodidae. The transcript has 2 exons. The record is from RefSeq and is a predicted model, not a curated record.